Molecule: unclassified non-coding RNA, 317 nt
Filed under: Hevea brasiliensis (rubber tree)
Lineage: Eukaryota; Viridiplantae; Streptophyta; Magnoliopsida; Malpighiales; Euphorbiaceae
Source: RNAcentral
GUGGAGUUCUGGAUCUGUGUUUUGUUGACUCUUUUUGGAUGGCUACCUGGUAUUGUCUAUGCUGUUUGGGUCUUGACCAAGUGAGAAAAAAGGUGAAUAUGUGAUGAAGCCCAUAACUAAGUCACUUUAUUUCCACCUAAUGGAGUAUUAUCUAGCUGUUGUUUUAUUUAUUCUUGGAUGUAUUUUUUUUCUAAGUUUAUCCCCUCCUUUUUCUUUAUUGGCUACUAUUCUCUCUUGUGUAUUCCAUCUUGGAUAGAGUGUUGGUUGUGUACUUCCAUUCUGUUAUUUUAAUUGAAUAUACCAAUAAUUGUCAGUAC